Molecule: ribosomal RNA, 253 nt
Filed under: uncultured prokaryote
Description: partial 16S ribosomal RNA
Rfam family: Bacterial small subunit ribosomal RNA
Source: RNAcentral
UACGUAGGGACCAAGCGUUGUUCGGAUUUACUGGGCGUAAAGGGCGCGUAGGCGGCGUGGUAAGUCACUUGUGAAAUCUCUGAGCUUAACUCAGAACGGCCAAGUGAUACUGCUGUGCUAGAGUGCGGAAGGGGCAAUCAGAAUUCUUGGUGUAGCGGUGAAAUGCGUAGAUAUCAAGAGGAAUACCUGAGGUGAAGACGGGUUGCUAGGCCGACACUGACGCUGAUGCGCGAAAGCCAGGGGAGCAAACGGG